CCAGCACGUUAUGGUGGGCGACUCUAAGGAGACUGCCGGUGGACAAACCGGAGGAAGUGGGGAUGACGUCAAGUCAUCAUGGCCCUUACGGCCUGGGCUACACACGUGCUACAAUGGUCGGUACAAAGGGUUGCCAAGCCGCGAGGUGGAGCUAAUACCCAUAAAACCGAUCGUAGUCCGGAUCGCAGUCUGCAACUCGACUGCGUGAAGUCGGAAUCGCUAGUAAUCGUGAAUCAGAAUGUCACGGUGAAUACGUUCCCGGGCCUU
This 267-nucleotide ribosomal RNA is filed under the name uncultured Pseudomonas sp. RNAcentral's name for it is "partial 16S ribosomal RNA". It matches the Rfam family "Bacterial small subunit ribosomal RNA", at positions 1118 to 1382 of the family's 1533-position model. Lineage: Bacteria; Pseudomonadati; Pseudomonadota; Gammaproteobacteria; Pseudomonadales; Pseudomonadaceae. The record is from RNAcentral.